AUGCAGAAAAUCUGCCAGUGGAAAGGAUUAAGUUGGGAGAUUGCUCUCCCUGCUGCUGCUGCUGCUGCUGCUGCUGCUUCUCCUCCUCCUCUCGCUCGCCUGGACCGCCGCGCCUCAGUCUCCCGCGCUGCCUUGCCCGGGUGUUGCCUCUUGGCGCAUUGUGUGCGGCUGCCUUCCCGGCGAAGUCUUGCCCGCGCGCCUGGGCGCUUCUGCCUCUCCCUCUCCCGCCGCUCCUUUUCUUCUUCUCCUCCUGCCCGCUGCCCGCCUCCCCGAAGGAAGGGGAGGAGGAGGAGGAAGGAAGGAAGGAAAAGGGAGCAGCUAAUCUGAGCGCAAGGACGCCAUUAAGCUCCGGCGGCUUUGCAGCCGCGGCGGCUGGGCUUUGAAGCGCGCCGCUCAAGUCGGGGCGCGGCGCGCGCGCGGGGAGGACGCGCCCCCUGCCGGACUCCCCAGUUCGCGCCUCGCUCAGACGGGGCGGAGGCUUUGAAUGGUGGGGGUCUCCUUUCUCCGGCUUGGGAAGGAGAAGCGCCUCCGGAGAAGAGGGCUGGCUAGGGGGUAGCUGCCCCUCACAGCGCCCGGUCGUCGAGAUGCGCCUCCGGAUGGCGCUCCAGGAGCUGGAGGGCGGUUUCUUCACCCGUUGCGAAAAAGCGCCUCUGGGUGGGUUGUGCGGCUGUGCGAAUGCCUGCCAUCGACCCAUUACAGAAAGCGAGGAGAGAUUGUGUCCUCCCUGGCCAAUAUAGGUAGGAUGAGUGUGAGUAGAAACUAGCCUGCUGUGGGGUUGGACUACAACUCCUGUCAUCUCUGACUGCUGGUCUCUGCAGGCCAGGGAUGGUUGUGGUUUGUAGUACAACAACAUCUGGGAAUCCGAGAUGGAGAAAGGUAAUAGGCAUUCAUUGCUUCACCUGGGCAGUGUGUAUGGAGUGCCUGGGCUGCCCAGAUGACAAGCCUCGCUGAUGUGGUCCGAAGGAAAGCAGAGCAAUGCGUUUGGCACCAAUUUGGCUGCAGGAGUUGCCGGAAGGUGCCAUCCAACUGCCUUAGGGAUUUGUGUAGCCUUUUCUUCUCCUGAAGAUAUCCCACAAGGCAGUUCCGGUUUACGGUCAUUUCUCCUAGAUGGGCUACCUUCCCGAGUUGAUGACCCAUGUCUGCUCCUCGCUUCCUUCUACAGCAGGCAUCCCCAACCUUUGGCCCUCUGGAUGUUUUGUACUACAAUUCCCAUCAACCUGAUCUGUUAGCUAGGGAUCAUGGGAGUUGUAGACCAAAACAUCUGGAGGGCCGCAGGUUGGGGAUGCCAGCUCUACAGCAUGUGCAGAAACUGCCUUCUCGGCUGUUGGACCCGCUAUUGGUCUGUCUGCUCCAUCCUCCAGAACCUGCCUUCACUUAUUAAGGUUUUGAUACCUAUCAGCUGCCCUCGCUUGGUUUAGCCAGCCAAUUGAAGCCAUUCCCCUGGUAUGGCUGCUGUCACAUUCUGACAGCUUAUAGGAGCCACAGGUGACAGCUGAAUGCGGGGGGGGGGGGGAGUGGACAAACUACUCCAGGAGGACCACAACAUGUCUCCCCCACCAGAGGUACUACCUCUCCCCUCACACUCCCAUCAACCACAAUCAAGUGGGCAGCAUUUUUGAACUGUCUGGUGAUGACCUGAAUGGCUAAUCUGUUUAUAACAAAAAAACUUUUUUACUAAUUAUGAGCAAGAUCAACACACUAAUUAGAUCAUUCUCUGGGGCAUCAGGAAGAAUCUCUGUGCAGAAUUGCCCAGGAAAACUACAUUGCUGGCUAACUGAGCUAGGAGAUUCGGUUCUACAGGCUGUAAUACAUUCAGUUGCUAAGUAGCUGAUAUUCUGGAUGGACAGCAGACAGCGGUUGUAAUGGUAGAGUAGCAGUGCUAGUAAGGCUGGAACAGACGCCAUCACGCUUCUUGCAACAUGUGUGCUGGUGGCUUUGAGGUUUUAAGGCUUGAUGCAAUCCAUAAUGAAAUAUAUGUGGUUUGGGUGUAGACUUGCAAACUUUAUUUAGGCAAGAUUCCAUCUGAAGAGAGGGCAGAUUUGGCUAAACUGCUGUGGAAUCAAGCCCCAUAAUUUCUUCUUACAUAUUUUGAAGGCGGGGAGGGGGAAAACUAAUGUCAAAGGCCUACAUAAAAGAAAUAAUAAGGAUGGGAGAAUUUCUGGACACACUUUGUUGUAUAUGAUUAUGGUUAUGGCAAUAAAAAUAGUGAUUCAGAGAAUUACCAUUCAAGAAGUUCUUUUUUUACAUAUUUAUUUUGUCCCGGCAGCAAACGAUACAUCUUUAUAUAGAGCCUGUGGCUUUGGUCUAAAUUGGUGUCUUGCCGAUGUAACGCGGGUCAUCAUAACCAGUUUAAGAUUCAUCUUUCAAAAUAUUACUAGGCUGUGUGGUUAAAGGGACAAAAUAAAAUCCCUCUCAAAUGGAAGGGAUUGUAGCAUAAUGGUGCAUUACAGUACCUGCCCAGGUUCAUUGUCAUUCGGAAUAUUUAUUAAAUUUUAAAUUGCUGUUAUUUUUUACCUAUGUCAUUUUAAUCUGUGAUAUUAAUGCUGUAUUCUUAGUUUUAGAUUUUGAUUUAUGUGGAAAUUGUUUUCCAUUUGGUUGUGCAUUUUUUGAUGUGGUUUAUUUAUUGUUUAUGACUUUUGUAAUUAUGUAAAUCUUGUCAUGUUGUAAGCCGCCUUGAGUAUUGUUUUUAACUGUGGAAAAGUGGCAUACAAAUAAAAAAUGAUGAUUUUU
Molecule: long non-coding RNA, 2730 nt
Filed under: Podarcis muralis (Common wall lizard)
Lineage: Eukaryota; Metazoa; Chordata; Lepidosauria; Squamata; Lacertidae
Description: lncRNA (ENSPMRG00000011588.1)
Source: RNAcentral